RNAcentral lists this microRNA precursor (145 nucleotides) under Prunus dulcis (almond). RNAcentral describes it as "sRNA ncRNA". The record is from RNAcentral. Lineage: Eukaryota; Viridiplantae; Streptophyta; Magnoliopsida; Rosales; Rosaceae.
UGAGAUGAGAGAGAGGAUGAGAACGGAAGAGGGGAGGGAGGAACAAAAGUGAAAUAAAAACUUAAAUGGAUUUCAGUUUUUAGUUUUUGUUUUCACUUUUGUCAUUCCUUCAUCCUUCUUCUCAUCCUCCCCAUUCAUCUUCUCU